RNAcentral lists this ribosomal RNA (477 nucleotides) under uncultured delta proteobacterium. RNAcentral's name for it is "bacterial SSU rRNA". It matches the Rfam family "Bacterial small subunit ribosomal RNA", at positions 29 to 479 of the family's 1533-position model. Lineage: Bacteria; Deltaproteobacteria. The record is from RNAcentral.
AACGAACGCUGGCGGCGUGCUUAACACAUGCAAGUCGAGCGAGAAAGGGGGGGCAACCCCCUGAGUAGAGCGGCGCACGGGUGAGUAACGCGUGGGUAACCUACCCCCAGGCGGGGGAUAACCACUCGAAAGGGUGGCUAAUACCGCAUGAGACCACGGGAUCUUCGGAUCCUGAGGCUAAAGAUUGCACCGGCUUGCCGGUGCCGUCACCAGGGGAUGGGCCCGCGUCCGAUUAGCUAGUUGGCGAGGUAAUGGCUCACCAAGGCUACGAUCGGUAGCUGGUCUGAGAGGAUGAUCAGCCACACUGGAACUGAAACACGGUCCAGACUCCUACGGGAGGCAGCAGUGAGGAAUAUUGCGCAAUGGGGGAAACCCUGACGCAGCAACGCCGCGUGGGUGAAGAAGGCCUUCGGGUCGUAAAGCCCUUUCGGACGGGACGAACGCUUCGCGGUGAAAGCCGCGAAGUCUGACGGUACC